AACGAACGCUGGCGGCGUGGUUUAGGCAUGCAAGUCGAGCGAGAAAGUCCUUCGGGACGAGUACAGCGGCGAAAGGGUGAGUAAUAUAUAGGUAACCUACCUCUUGGACUCGGAUAAUUCCUGGAAACGGGUUGUAAUACGAGAUCGUCCUAUUGGGUCGCAUGGCCCGACUGGUAAAUGGUAGCUCUGCUUCUGCCGAGAGAGGGGCCUAUAUCCUAUUAGCUAGUUGGUGAGGUAAUGGCUCACCAAGGCUUUGAUGGGUAGCCGGACUGAGAGGUUGGCCGGUCACACUGGGACUGAGACACUGCCCAGACUCCUACGGGAGGCUGCAGUCGAGAAUCUUCCGCAAUGGGCGAAAGCCUGACGGGGCUACGCCGCGUGAACG
RNAcentral lists this ribosomal RNA (385 nucleotides) under uncultured bacterium. Its description in RNAcentral is "bacterial SSU rRNA". It matches the Rfam family "Bacterial small subunit ribosomal RNA", at positions 29 to 407 of the family's 1533-position model. The record is from RNAcentral.